GAGUUUGAUCCUGGCUCAGGACGAACGCUGGCGGCGCGCCUAACACAUGCAAGUCGAACGAGCGAGAGAGAGCUUGCUUUCUCGAGCGAGUGGCGAACGGGUGAGUAACGCGUGAGGAACCUGCCUCAAAGAGGGGGACAACAGUUGGAAACGACUGCUAAUACCGCAUAAGCCCACGGGUCGGCAUCGACCAGAGGGAAAAGGAGCAAUCCGCUUUGAGAUGGCCUCGCGUCCGAUUAGCUAGUUGGUGAGGUAAUGGCCCACCAAGGCGACGAUCGGUAGCCGGACUGAGAGGUUGAACGGCCACAUUGGGACUGAGACACGGCCCAGACUCCUACGGGAGGCAGCAGUGGGGAAUAUUGCACAAUGGGGGAAACCCUGAUGCAGCGACGCCGCGUGAGCGAAGAAGUAUUUCGGUAUGUAAAGCUCUAUCAGCAGGGAAGAUAAUGACGGUACCUGACUAAGAAGCACCGGCUAAAUACGUGCCAGCCGCCGCGGUAAUAC
RNAcentral lists this ribosomal RNA (504 nucleotides) under uncultured bacterium. RNAcentral describes it as "bacterial SSU rRNA". It matches the Rfam family "Bacterial small subunit ribosomal RNA", at positions 9 to 526 of the family's 1533-position model. The record is from RNAcentral.